RNAcentral lists this ribosomal RNA (274 nucleotides) under uncultured prokaryote. RNAcentral's name for it is "partial 16S ribosomal RNA". It matches the Rfam family "Bacterial small subunit ribosomal RNA", at positions 524 to 798 of the family's 1533-position model. The record is from RNAcentral.
UACGUAUGGGGCAAGCGUUAUCCGGAAUUAUUGGGCGUAAAGAGUGCGUAGGUGGUUACCUAAGCGCAAGGUUUAAUCUUGAGGCUCAACCUCAUUCUGCCUUGCGAACUGGGCUACUUGAGUGCACGAGGGGAAAGCGGAAUUCCUAGUGUAGCGGUGAAAUGCGUAGAUAUUAGGAAGAACACCGGUGGCGAAGGCGGCUUUCUGGACUGUAACUGACACUGAGGCACGAAAGCGUGGGGAGCAAACAGGAUUAGAUACCCUGGUAGUCCCU